GAUGAACGCUGGCGGCGUGCCUAAUACAUGCAAGUCGAGCGAACGGACGAGAAGCUUGCUUCUCUGAUGUUAGCGGCGGACGGGUGAGUAACACGUGGAUAACCUACCUAUAAGACUGGGAUAACUUCGGGAAACCGGAGCUAAUACCGGAUAAUAUUUUGAACCGCAUGGUUCAAAAGUGAAAGACGGUCUUGCUGUCACUUAUAGAUGGAUCCGCGCUGCAUUAGCUAGUUGGUAAGGUAACGGCUUACCAAGGCAACGAUGCAUAGCCGACCUGAGAGGGUGAUCGGCCACACUGGAACUGAGACACGGUCCAGACUCCUACGGGAGGCAGCAGUAGGGAAUCUUCCGCAAUGGGCGAAAGCCUGACGGAGCAACGCCGCGUGAGUGAUGAAGGUCUUCGGAUCGUAAAACUCUGUUAUUAGGGAAGAACAUAUGUGUAAGUAACUGUGCACAUCUUGACGGUACCUAAUCAGUAAGCCACGGCUAACUACGUG
This 497-nucleotide ribosomal RNA is filed under the name uncultured bacterium. Its description in RNAcentral is "partial 16S ribosomal RNA". It matches the Rfam family "Bacterial small subunit ribosomal RNA", at positions 28 to 507 of the family's 1533-position model. The record is from RNAcentral.